Molecule: ribosomal RNA, 501 nt
Filed under: uncultured bacterium
Lineage: Bacteria
Description: partial 16S ribosomal RNA
Rfam family: Bacterial small subunit ribosomal RNA
Source: RNAcentral
AUUGAACGCUGGCGGCAUGCCUUACACAUGCAAGUCGAACGGCAGCACGGGUGCUUGCACCUGGUGGCGAGUGGCGAACGGGUGAGUAAUACAUCGGAACGUACCUUAUCGUGGGGGAUAACGCAGCGAAAGCUGUGCUAAUACCGCAUACGCCCUGAGGGGGAAAGCGGGGGAUCGCAAGACCUCGCGCGAUUAGAGCGGCCGAUGCCUGAUUAGCUUGGUGGUGGGGUAAAAGCCCACCAAGGCGACGAUCAGUAGCUGGUCUGAGAGGACGAUCAGCCACACUGGGACUGAGACACGGCCCAGACUCCUACGGGAGGCAGCAGUGGGGAAUUUUGGACAAUGGGGGCAACCCUGAUCCAGCAAUGCCGCGUGAGUGAAGAAGGCCUUCGGGUUGUAAAGCUCUUUUGUCAGGGAAGAAACACCGGCUCUAACACAGUCCGGGAAUGACGGUACCUGAAGAAUAAGCACCGGCUAACUACGUGCCAGCCGCCGCUGUAA